This 449-nucleotide ribosomal RNA is filed under the name uncultured bacterium. Its description in RNAcentral is "bacterial SSU rRNA". It matches the Rfam family "Bacterial small subunit ribosomal RNA", at positions 330 to 793 of the family's 1533-position model. The record is from RNAcentral.
GCCAGACUCCUACGGGAGGCAGCAGUGGGGAAUAUUGGGCAAUGGGCGCAAGCCUGACCCAGCAACGCCGCGUGAAGGAAGAAGGCUUUCGGGUUGUAAACUUCUUUUCUCAGGGACGAAGCAAGUGACGGUACCUGAGGAAUAAGCCACGGCUAACUACGUGCCAGCAGCCGCGGUAAUACGUAGGUGGCAAGCGUUAUCCGGAUUUACUGGGUGUAAAGGGCGUGUAGGCGGGAAAGCAAGUCAGAUGUGAAAACCAUGGGCUCAACCUGUGGCCUGCAUUUGAAACUGUUUUUCUUGAGUACUGGAGAGGCAGACGGAAUUCCUAGUGUAGCGGUGAAAUGCGUAGAUAUUAGGAGGAACACCAGUGGCGAAGGCGGCUUACUGGACAGUAACUGACGUUGAGGCUCGAAAGCGUGGGGAGCAAACAGGAUUAGAUACCCCAGUAC